UCGUUCGCGCUAGAGACGACACAGGCACACAGCCAUGGCCGCCGCCGCCGCCGUCCCCACUCCCGGCGACCACGCUUGCCGGCGGCAGUGGCGGUACACGUGGGAAGCCCUGGGCCACCUCCCGCUCCUCCGCCUCUACGUAUUCCCCCGCCCCGCGCUCCCCGCCGCCAUCCCCUCCGGCGGUCUCCGCGCCGACCUCCGCCUCGAGGACUCCCUCCUCCUCCUCUCCUUCUCGCUCGCCGGGGAGGCCGCCCCCGUCGCGCUCAGGGUCCCCGUGCCGAGGGUGCUCGUCGACCCCGCCGCCCCCGUCGAGUGCCGCGCCGCGGGGGACCACGUCGAGGUCCGCCUCGCGCUCGUCCUCCCCGUCGACCACCCCGUCGUCGCCGCCGCGUUCCCGCCGCCGCACGGCGCCGAGCCGCCCGCGCCGCUCGUUGUGCGCGAUGAUUUGAAGAGUCUGUCUACUGGAGACGUUCAUUUGUAUUGCAAGAAUUGCUCAGCAAGGUUGACAAAACAGGCACUGAGGAAAAUCAUGGAAAUGCCAUCUGUAAAUUGGGAAGAUGUGGCUGACAAUUGGUUUGGUGGAUGUUGCACCUCAUUUAGUGGUGCAGGCGAGAAGCUUGUAGCUCAGUUUAUUAAUGCAUAUGGUCGUUUAGAGGGAACAAGUCUACUGGAUACAACUGCCAUUACUAUUGAAACAGACUAUCUUGAGUCAGAUUUAGUGGCUCAGGUAGCUUGUUCGGCGAGUAGUGAUUUCAGUGCUAUGGAAGAAGCUAUAUCUGAUGUUAGUGUAGGAAAAGGUCAUGCCUCUGGGAAGAUAAAAUUGAAUAAUUCAGAAGAGCAAGCAAAUAUCACCACUACUCAUGCACAACCUCCAUUUAUUUUGGAAAAGGGACAUAGUGUUAGUAGUAGAGAAACAAAUGGAGUCACUCUUCAGACUGAUCAAUCUGGCACUUGUGAGAUGGAAAUCGAUAUUGAUGUGAACUUUGAGAAGCCUAAAAAUGACUCUUGUGUUGAGAAGAUGGAGGAAUCUAACAAAGAGGUCGAUUUGUCACUGGUAGAUCCUUGCCAUGGCUGUUGUGUCUAUGAAUACAAUGGGAAAGCUGAAGAUAACCCUUUACAGAUGUCCUUGGGGAACCAGAAAAAGCAGACCAUGUUGGAGACUAAAAGAGAUUACAAAUUAACAAAAACUAUUUCUCUGGGUAGUGGCUUCAUCGUUAAAGCGUCUAACCUUUUGAAUGAUUUCGAGUGGGUUGAACUUCUCUGUGGUCGAUGCCUAUCACCUCUUGGGUCAUACCCUUCUCAGGGUUCACUUGUUCCGGCUGAUGGCCGUCUACGACUCUUCAAGUGCUACACAUCUACAGAACUUCCUGUUAUGGGGCCUCAUGAUGUGUUUAGGGGACAUACAUUGGAAAGAGUUUUUGUUAAUCUGUUGCUCGAAGUUGCAGAAGAUGAAAUAUCUUUUCGUACAUUAGUCAGAGAUUUGAAAACCAAAAGGCCCAUCCUGCAACUAGUUCUUCUUAGUUCAAAAGCAUGGUUAUCUUCUGGUUGCUGCGAUGAAAAUGAUAUGGAUGGUUCACAUGGAACAGCAGAUCUGCAGCCUAGUGUUAAACUCUUGUAUUCGGAUUAUAGCAAUGCUUCAGAAGCAGACUUAAGGAUAGUAGAAGAGUGGUCAUCCAAAUAUCGGGCUGAAGAGCUGUACACAAUGAAGCGUCAAAUAGAUGAACUUACUGAUUGCCUAAGCUCAGCAAUGGACAACUUUCCGGUUUCUUGUUCUUCCCUUGAAGGGAUGCACCUGUCAUCCCUGAGGCGUUGACUUGAUCAGUAUACGAUAGAGAAAUUGUGUCUAGACUGAUCACAUUUUUGUAUCUAGAGGAAUCUACAGCAUAGAAUUCUGAUAGGCAUAUGAGAUCGUCCUCAGUUUCUUUUGACCUUUCAGCAAGCUCCCUGAUCGUAUCUUCUUUAAACUGCAAGAUGCCAUGGCUUGUCCUCUACUCUCAAAAGACUUCGUUUACAUUGAAAUGGUGUUAUGGCUAAUCCAGCUGUGCAUAAAUACUGGCCCAGGUUGUCUCUGCUAAUAGGGUUCUUAGAUUUCUGGUAAAUUCCUAUUAUUCAAAACAAAUGUUUGGAGUGACUUGUUCUUUGGAUCCUUUAGGAUUUGGAUUGAUCUGAACUAUACAUCUUCUAUUGAAACAGCCAAGUCUUUUGGCCUGAUUUCCUACUUUUGACUGCAA
This is an RNA transcript of Setaria italica (foxtail millet), 2231 nucleotides long. RefSeq lists it as uncharacterized. The transcript is spliced from 6 exons. NCBI's taxonomy places the organism in Eukaryota, Viridiplantae, Streptophyta, Magnoliopsida, Poales, Poaceae. The record is from RefSeq and is a predicted model, not a curated record.